Non-coding RNA from Dermacentor andersoni, 1077 nucleotides. NCBI's taxonomy places the organism in Eukaryota, Metazoa, Arthropoda, Arachnida, Ixodida, Ixodidae. The record is from RefSeq and is a predicted model, not a curated record.
GCGUUUCCCCGCAGGCCGGCUGAGGCCGGUGAACAAUAGAAGGCAGCAUCCACGUGACCCUGCGUUCCCGGAUGUUAGUUCCCUAAGUUGUUUUCCAACUGUCCCUAUGGGGCCACUGAAUACCUAGUGUGUCACGUGAUUGGGGAGGUUUCUUCCCUGUAUUGCUGCCGGAUUAUGCAACAACCCUAGUGCGUGCAAUGUCGGAAUGGCGCACGUCUGUGAUCGAGCUGCUAUCGGCGAUGACGAUCGUCGCUGCGAAUUCUGCAGCAAACUAUUCAUACAGAGGAAGAACAUGCUGCAACACAUCAGGAACGUUCACAAAAUGGCCGUGGAUGUCAAGAAAUUGAUGAAAUGCGACGUAUGUGGCACUUCCCUGCCUACAAUGGAGAAGUAUUCGGUGCACCAGAUCGCUGCGCACAACUUCGAGGCUGAUUACGUGCACCCGGUGUUCCGGAACAAUAAGGAAUUUCAUGAAUGGAAAGCAAAAGAAUAGGGUAGCCAAAACUGCUGGUUCAUUUUGCCCAGGGACCCCAAAAAGCUGGCCAGUGGAGAAACAAGGAUCCACUAUUACUGUAAUAGAUCAGGCGAGGCAAGGAAAAAGGAAGGUCAUAGUGACCGUCGGGAGAAAAGUCAGGGGAGCUGUAGGUCUGGUAAGAUAUGUCUUUCAUUUAUUACCGUCACAAUUACCGUCCGACACCUGAAGGCACCACCAUAAAAGUCAGGUAUCAAAGAAACCAUUACGGUCAUAAACCAGAAAUUCAGCACUUGAGAAUGAGUGACAAGGAAAAGGCCAGCGUAGCAGAGAACCUAGAAAGGGGUAUGCCCAUGAAAACCAUUCUAAAGCGAGUAAGAACAUCUGUGGCAUCCAAGCUGAGGCCCGUGCACUUGGCAGAGUGCUCAACCCUGCAUAACAUGAAACAGCAGUUUAACAUUGCUGCUCCUGAACAUUGUCACACUAAUGACGCUAUCAGUGUAGACAUGUGGGUGCUUGUGAUGAAAGAAAAAGGUGAAACACUUGUCCGCCUGUACAAGGCACAAGGUGCAGUGGACCCAAGUGGUACAUUUCCUUCAGCAGAC